UACGAAAGGGGCUAGCGUUGUUCGGAAUUACUGGGCGUAAAGCGCACGUAGGCGGCAUUGUAAGUUGGGGGUGAAAUCCCGAGGCUCAACCUCGGAACUGCCUCCAAAACUGCAAAGCUAGAGGAUGUGAGAGGAUAGUGGAAUUCCGAGUGUAGAGGUGAAAUUCGUAGAUAUUCGGAAGAACACCAGUGGCGAAGGCGACUGUCUGGCACAUUUCUGACGCUGAGGUGCGAAAGCGUGGGGAGCAAACAGG
RNAcentral lists this ribosomal RNA (253 nucleotides) under uncultured bacterium. RNAcentral's name for it is "partial 16S ribosomal RNA". It matches the Rfam family "Bacterial small subunit ribosomal RNA", at positions 524 to 776 of the family's 1533-position model. The record is from RNAcentral.